CGAAGCACAAACCAAAGGCAGGGGAAUACUGUGGACUUAAACCAGAAAUCCUAAUAGGGUGUAGGGUGUGGAGCUAUGCUGUGUGAGGCCUACUCUGACCACUGGGGCGGUCACCACACAGGGUUUCACUGUCCCCGCCUCUCUGACCCCCCUGACCUGUCCUUCUGUUGCUGGCAAGGAGAGGGUCUGGGGCUCAAACAGUGCUGCCCACGUUCCCAGUACCACAAUAGCACGAACAGCAGUCAGACAGGGACCAGAGUGAACUCCAAAGAACCUGUUUACAGCUACAGGUCCCUGUUCCAGACUGUGGUUCUGCUCUAUGGGUCCUUGGUACUGGUCCUGAUGCUUGUGGACUUCCUAUGGUUCUGUCGUGCGCGGGGUCUUUCAGUAACGGCAGCUCUUACGAGGCAUGUCACGU
Oncorhynchus gorbuscha (pink salmon) is the source of this 418-nucleotide long non-coding RNA. RefSeq lists it as uncharacterized. The record is from RefSeq and is a predicted model, not a curated record. The transcript is spliced from 3 exons. Lineage: Eukaryota; Metazoa; Chordata; Actinopteri; Salmoniformes; Salmonidae.